RNAcentral lists this ribosomal RNA (101 nucleotides) under uncultured bacterium. RNAcentral's name for it is "partial 16S ribosomal RNA". It matches the Rfam family "Bacterial small subunit ribosomal RNA", at positions 1384 to 1482 of the family's 1533-position model. The record is from RNAcentral.
UACACACCGCCCGUCACACCACGAAAGUCGCUUGGACCAGAAGUCGGUGCGCUAACCCGUAAGGGGAGCAGCCGCCCAAGGUCUGAGCGGUGAUUGGGGUG